CUGCUAGCAUGAAAAGAGUUUUUUUUAAGGUUUUAAAUGUGACCUCUUUGUGAAUUUCUUAAAUGGCUUGUUAUGAAAGGUGAUGCCACGGUGUGUACAUGAACUUUGAGAAAAGUGUUUAUUUUAUGUUGUGUUUCAUAUAACUAACUGAAAUUUUUUGAAUGUGCUGUGUUGGCAAAAGGUCCGAUUUGAAGGAGCCUAAAAUGUGUGCCUUGUUGGUUGGUUGUUUUUAGAAAAUGUUUUUGGUGUUCGUUUUUGAUGUUCCAUGUGUUGUCUUUGUGGAGAGAUUCUAGGCAGAUUUUUGGGGGCUGCAUUUGGCAGCCAUCUUGUUUGCUAUGGUCGUUGGCGGCCAUUUUGUGAGGUGCAGUCUGUUUGCUCUGUGGGUCAUCCUGGGUCAUCUUUUGGGUGUGAUACCAUGUGACUGAGCAGUGGAAUUUUUGCAGCCUUUGGGGCAGAUUUUGAUGUUUAGGGUGAUUUCGAGGCGCAGUUAAAUUGUUUUUUGCAAGCGUAAAUGGCGCCAUUGUUUGCUUGGUUUGUCGCCAUUUUGAGAUGCAGUUUAAAGCGCUAUCUUUUGAAUAGUGCUUGCGUGCUAGGGCUAAUUUAUAUAAAAGAUCUGACUAACCUAUCGGCUGACUUUGCAGUAUAAGAAUGGAGGCUUUUGUGUAAGAAUUUCGUUUUUUGGGUGAAAAGACUGCUUUGCAUGCACUGAAUUUUAAUGGAUUGUGGAACUGGUUUGAAUGCAUUUUUGUGCACAGCGAUGUGCGUUGCUUUUGGAUUUGAAUAUUUGGGAAUUUCCCUGCAGAUGGGAGGAGAUUGUUUUACCUUUCCUGAACCAAAAGAAUUUUGUUUUAAAAGGAGAGUCCGUUCUGGCUUUGUUUACUAUUGGAUAAUACUUCCAGGGGAUAUUUGUGGUCCAUGGAGUUUUUUUGAUGAAGAUAGACUUCCCCUCCCUCUUCCUGUCAUUAUGUAAAUAAACCAGAAUUGGGUUUUACGAGCUGAGCAUACA
Molecule: long non-coding RNA, 1006 nt
Organism: Rana temporaria (common frog)
Lineage: Eukaryota; Metazoa; Chordata; Amphibia; Anura; Ranidae
Exons: 2
Source: RefSeq, a predicted model, not a curated record